CCUACGGGGUGCAGCAGUGAGGAAUAUUGGUCAAUGGCCGGAAGGCUGAACCAGCCAUGCCGCGUGAAGGUCAGUGCCCUAUGGGCGUUAAACUUCUUUUGUGCGGGAGCAAUAAUGGUCACGUGUGGCCAGACGAGAGUACCGUACGAAUAAGCAUCGGCUAACUCCGUGCCAGCAGCCGCGGUAAUACGGGGGAUGCAAGCGUUAUCCGGAUUUAUUGGGUUUAAAGGGUGCGUAGGCUGUGAGGUAAGUCAGCGGUGAAAUGCCCCCGCUCAACGGGGUGAAGUGCCAUUGAUACUGCCUGGCUGGAAUGCGGAUGCCGUGGGAGGAAUGUGUGGUGUAGCGGUGAAAUACAUAGAUAUCACACAGAACACCGAUUGCGAAGGCAUCUCACGAAUCCGCGAUUGACGCUGAUGCACGAAAGCGUGGGUAUCAAACAGGAUUAGAUACCCUGGUAGUC
This 460-nucleotide ribosomal RNA is filed under the name uncultured bacterium. Its description in RNAcentral is "partial 16S ribosomal RNA". It matches the Rfam family "Bacterial small subunit ribosomal RNA", at positions 338 to 795 of the family's 1533-position model. The record is from RNAcentral.